GACAGAAUACAAAUGAUGAUUGCAAGGAAAUAAACCUAAACUAAACAUGGUAGUUCCUAAAGAUCAUCGCCAAAGAAAAUGCAAAAUAAGCAAAGAGAUAUUCAGAUUUUCUAUACUCUCUUUUUGGCAAUUUCCAUAUUACUCAAAGAAUUUAAUGCUAACACAAGAAAACAUACGGCUAGGAAAUUAAAAAGACAAGAACAUAUAUAUAACUAUCUAACAUGAACAGUGGGAAGAAACAAGAACUUGAGCUAAUACAUGGACUACAAAACUGAAUAUAUUUCUGCAGAAAAGGGAAGACACUGUGACGACACAUACAUGAACUGGAAUUACGUAAAUUCAGUGCAAGUGACAAGCAUACAUGUACCACACGGUUGACAAAUAUAACAUUCACGAACUUAUUUUAUAUAGAUGCAUGAACUAGUCAGAUCCCAGAAAACAAACACUAUAUUAUACAAGUACUAAACAGAGCAAACAGCUGUUUACAUGUACUCUUCAAAUCUGAACCUUACAAGUCUUGAACAUCUCUCAAUACUAUAGAAUUUCAGAGAGAGAGAGAGAGAAGGCAACAGCAGGAGGUUGAGAGAGAAGAAGCAGUAGCAGGGGGCGUUGAGAGGAGGGAGAAGGAGCAGCGGGGCAAAGGAAGAUGGAGUAGCAGCAACGACUUGGAGUUUGGAGAUGGAGAAGGAGCAGAACAACAGCGUGGUAGGGGAAAGUAGAAGAGCAGCAGCAAUAGGGAUUCAGAGAGGAGGCGAGCUUGGAGAAGGAUAGCAGCAGGGAGAGUUGUAGAUGAGCAGCAGCAGUAGCGCGGGGGAGAAGGAGCAGCAGACAGGGAUUCAGAGAAGCGAGGAAGAAGGGAAGAAGAAGCAGCGGCGGUGUGUCUGGCCGGGCACGCCAGCUGGAGGGAGAGGUCGCGCGAGGUGGGCACUGGUGGUUGGCGCUGUGAUGGAUGGAUGAUGGUGUGGGUGGUGGAUGGCGCGGGUGAUGGUGGAGCAACGAGGUCGCCGAAGCGCGUCGCCACGAUGGCCUGGCCGCGGCGGCGGCCGGAGGUGGGAGAAGAAGUGGUGAGGGGGAGAGAGAUGGAGAUGCCAGCUCCCUUUGGGAAUGGAGGCUGCUAGGGAUUUUGAUCCCCUCCGAUCAGAUCUGAAUGUUUUCACUUUGGCCCUCCUCCUUCCUUCUUUUGGCACAAGAUGAUCCCUCCACUUCUUAAGCUAGCCCCCCUAAGCUUUAAUCUUCUUCAAGCUUGAGUCCCUCUUUCUUCUCUUCUUGCCCGUGAUCUUGUUCCUCAAUUCUUUCUAGACAGGAACUUGUAGAUUAUAGUGCCUUGUCGCACUUUUCUGCAAAAGAAACACAAUGACUAGUAAAUGAUUCAUUAUAUGAUUUCCAUGCAAAUAUUCAAUAUUUCACAUCAAGAAUUAAUGGUCAUAUCUCAAUAAACCGCAUAUUUGAGUGCCAAAAGAUGUAUAUGAAAUGUGCUUAUCAAGUUCCCCCACACUUAAAUCUUUGCUUGUCCUCAAGCAAAGGCAUAUGACAAAAGCAAGAACAUGAACAGUGAACUGACUAGAGAAUGUCAAGUGAAGUAGAUCUCUAAACAAUGCAUGCUUUGGACUUGGCUAGUGAAAAUUAACGGUUAAGAGUGCUACAUAUCAAUAGGACACUAGUAAACUCGACCAUUUUAAACUUUUGCAAUGAUAAACGAAGAUUAGCAAGUUCAAAUGCUGAUUGUGCCAAAGGGUUCCUAAAGAGAGCAUGAUCCCAAAAAAAACUUAUUACCCGGAACAUAACAUUAUGGUAGAAGCACUUAUUGAAUUUGAAGGAAGUAAUGGUAAUAUUUUAUUGAUCUCACCAAUGGAACAUACCACCGAUCCCGAGAACAUGGUAUACACCCGGCUUGGCCAAUUAUUAGUUUUUUUUAGUUUGUCUCCCCAAAGGAACAUACCACCGAUCCCGAGAACAUGGUAUACACCUGGUUCGACAAUUACAUUUCUAUAAUUAUUAAUUACUGCCCAAGCUAACCUGAUUUCACAUGCCACCGAUCCCGGGAACAUGACAUGCUACUGUAGGUAGCCAGACUUAUUUAUUCAUUAUUACUUAUCUUAAAUGAACAACACAUAAGAACAAAAACAGGAAUCAUCACUUCUCCAUGUCUGGUUCACAUGCUACCGAUCCAGGGAACAUAGCAUGCUAAUCCAUAGUGGUUAGGUGAUUGCUCUCAAUGGGAAGACACUUGGCACAAAUUCAGCAUCUAAACAUGGUGAUCUAGGUGUAUCAUAGUAAAUGCAGAAAAUGACGAAGUUUUCUAGUGUACUAGGGAUUUGAGCACUCAAAACUAGUAGUUCUCACUAAUUUUAGCAAAGCAUGCAUGGUGUAGAUCACUAGUUUACAAGGCAUCCAAAAAUCAAGUUCACAAAUUCACAUCAAGCACAAUGCCAAAGGUGAGAUUCAGCUUGACAACAAGUAAUAACUGGCUCAAGCAACCCAACUAGCAAUUGAAUUCAGCAUGUAUUUAUGAUAUUCAGAAUGGGUCAUGAAACAGCUCACCGGGCUUAAUGAAGUAGCACUCGCUUGAUCACCUCACCAACUGCAGCUCUUCUCCUUUUCCUUCCUUAUGGAUGCUCCAGCUUCACUCUUCUUCGUGUGUGCCCCAUUGCUUCUCCUCAUCGCCAUGCUCUGACUCCACCAGGAUCCCAAGGAAUGUCACCUCAAACCUGGUCAGCAUGUAGUAAACAGUGCAGUAGCAAAAGCCUGAAAUAGGACUCACACAAACAACUAUAAGUGAUACGGUCGAUGCCCUCCAAGUCAUCAAUGGUAUAUCCAAUUAUAUAAGCAUAACUAUAAAGCACAUGUUUAGGAUGGCAGAAAUCAGCAUGGUCAAUACUCACACGAGGAUGACAUUUAUCAUUAAGCUCAAGACUAGCAUGGAAAUGAUGUGUUUCAUUAAGCAUAGGACUAGCACGAGGAAAGUAACUAUGAUCAUCGCAAAUGAGAGUAAUGCCACUAACAGGGUAUAUAUCAUCAUAUCCAAGCAAAUGAGUUUUCAAAUCAAUCUUAAGUGAUGGUAUCAUGUAAUGCAAGGUGGUAGCAAAGAAAUCACAAGGCAUCAUGUCAUCAAGAGGAUUGAGUAAACCUGACACAUCACGCUCUGGUAUGACAAUAGGCAAAUGAAUCUCAUGUUCUUCAUCUUCAUCUACAGCAGCUUCUUGUACUUCUUCAGAAGUAAUAGAUGAUGAGUCUUCAACUUGAUCACUUGGGAAUUGCAGCUCUUGACCAUCUUGUUCCUUGUCUUCUAGUUCAUCUUCUUCAAUCUGAGGUAUCUCUUGCUCAAGGCACUUGCUAUCUUCCUCAACGAAAUGUGAAGGUGCUGGAACCUCACAUGUAACCAUGGAUAUCUCAGCCACACUCAACUCAAGUUGUGAAGAAAUAGUGCUGCCAGCGUUGAUGUUCUUCUCAAUCUUCCUUACUUCUUCCACUAGCUCUUUUCCACUCUUGAUCUUCUUCAUUUCAUCUAGUAUAACCUUCCUAAUAGGAUCAUCCUCGGCACUCCAACUAAACUCGAGACUAAGCAAUGUGAUCUUUCUAUAUCAUCAAAUUCAUCUUGUGUGGGCACUUGCACAUGAGAUUGCUCGAAAGGUGCUGGAGUUGUUGGUUGACCAAAUGGAGGACCAUUUAACUCCAUUGGACACAUCUCCUGGUAUUGAGGUAUAUGAGUAGGAGGUGAAUAAAUCUAUUGUGGAGCAUAGUUGUGGUUCUCCUCAUUGUACCUGAAUCCCUGCAUUGGAUAACUAGAGGCAAACGAUGAGAUCUCAGGGUUAUUGCUCCUAUAUGACAUAUUCUGGUUUUUAGGCCACCCAUGUGUGUAAUUGUUUUGGUAUGAGUUAGGCAGUGGGGCGAAGCUCAUGCCAUAACAAUCGGGAGGAUGGGAGUAACCACACUGACAUUCAGCGGGCGAAUGGCCCUGAAAUCCACAAAUAUGGCAGGUAGGAGCAACAUAAGGAUGGCCUCUGGAAUUAGGAUCGUAAGAACUAGGCCUAUCCUCAAAAACUCCUUCUCGCUGUCGAGCUAAAUCAUCUAAUCGAUGGGAAAUCUUACCUAUCAGUUCUUAAACACUUUCCGUGUUGUUUGUAGUGUUGCUCGCAUAAGCCUGAUGAUCUGAAUAGUAAGCCAUAACCGAGAGGAUAAUCCAACCUGCAAAAAGGAAAAGAAGACAAAAAGAUACUAACUAGAACAGGGGUUAGUGGCUAGAGAUAUAUCACAAAUAUAUAAAGCACAAAAAGGAAACAAGCUAAACCUAGUCUAAAGCCUAGCACAAUCGCUCGACGCUAGUCCCCGGCAACGGCGCCAAAAUGAUCAAUUGAAAGUACAGUGGGGUUUUUACGCCCAAACUGCGAGUGUCGUGUUCUCCUCAGGGACUAGGCGACGACGACUAUGCUCGACUAAAGCUAGGUGACAGAAUACAAAUGAUGAUUGCAAGGAAAUAAACCUAAACUAAACAUGGUAGUUCCUGAAGAUCAUCGCCAAAGAAAAUGCAAAAUAAGCAAAGAGAUAUUCAGAUUUUCUAUACUCUCUUUUUGGCAAUUUCCAUAUUACUCAAAGAAUUUAAUGCUAACACAAGAAAACAUACGGCUAGGAAAUUAAAAAGACAAGAACAUAUAUAUAACUAUCUAACAUGAACAGUGGGAA
Molecule: long non-coding RNA, 4680 nt
Filed under: Triticum aestivum (bread wheat)
Lineage: Eukaryota; Viridiplantae; Streptophyta; Magnoliopsida; Poales; Poaceae
Description: long non-coding RNA (TAES_LNC021989)
Source: RNAcentral